Long non-coding RNA from Suricata suricatta (meerkat), 481 nucleotides. RefSeq lists it as uncharacterized. NCBI's taxonomy places the organism in Eukaryota, Metazoa, Chordata, Mammalia, Carnivora, Herpestidae. The transcript is spliced from 3 exons. The record is from RefSeq and is a predicted model, not a curated record.
AAAGAAAAAAGCCACAAAGAUAUACAACCAGCAGAGCUCAUUAUUUUCAGUGGAAGCUGAAGUUGCCAGUGCCAUUGAGGUUGGAAGAAAGAUCUUUUCUGGAACCUAUACCACGGAAGGUCAUGUGAACAGGGUCCUCACUAAGAACUCGACCAUGCUGGCACCGGAGUUUUGACCUCCAGCCUCUGGAAUGUGAGCAACCAAGGUCUAUUGUUUAAGCCACCCAGUAUAUGAUACUUUUGUUACAGUGACCCAAACCAACUGACUCCCCUCAUCCACCCAUCCUCCACCCCCAGGACCUGGCAUCCAUUAAUCUACUUUCUGAUUCUAUGGAUUUGCCUAUUUUGGACAAUUUCAUGUAAAUGGAAUCAUCGUAUGUGGAGUUUGUGGCUGGCUUCUUGUCAUGAUGUUUUUAAGUGCCAGCCAUGUUGUAGCAUGUAUCAGUCCUCCAUUUCUCCUAGUGGCUGAAUAAUAUUCCAUC